ACGGGGGAGGCAAGCGUUGUCCGGAAUCACUAGGCGUAAAGGGCAAGUAGGCGGAUCAGUAAGUUACGGGUUAAAUUUAGAGGCUCAACCUCUAACCAGCUUGUGAUACUGCUGAUCUAGAGUCAGACAGGGGAAGACGGAAUUCCCGGUGUAGCGGUGGAAUGCGCAGAUAUCGGGAAGAACACUCAUGGCGAAGGCAGUCUUCUGGGUCAUGACUGACGCUCAAUUGCGAAGGUGUGGGUAUCAAACAG
RNAcentral lists this ribosomal RNA (251 nucleotides) under uncultured prokaryote. RNAcentral's name for it is "partial 16S rRNA". It matches the Rfam family "Bacterial small subunit ribosomal RNA", at positions 525 to 775 of the family's 1533-position model. The record is from RNAcentral.